This is a non-coding RNA of Cinara cedri, 233 nucleotides long. Lineage: Eukaryota; Metazoa; Arthropoda; Insecta; Hemiptera; Aphididae. The record is from the annotation of a GenBank genome assembly.
UACAACGAUUUAUUUUUAUUGUUAUGUCUAUAAAAAACUUUCUCUUGGCCCAAUUAUCAUAUUCAAUAUUGGUUUUCAAUAGAAAACUAUAAUUAGUUCGUACGAUAAAAAUACUAUUUUCUUUUCCUUAUAGUUUUAUUAAUAACGGGGAAAAACGGGAAUAAUAAUGGCUUCUGUUAAUUUUGAUUUUGUUGUUUUGAAAUUCAGUGGAAAACAGUCUUAAAAAAUUUCGU